UAGUCCACGCCGUAAACGAUGAUUACUCGGUAUUGGCGAUAUAAUGUCAGUGUCUAAGCGAAAGUGAUAAGUAAUCCACCUGGGGAGUACGUUGGCAACAAUGAAACUCAAAGGAAUUGACGGGGGCCCGCACAAGCGGUGGAGCAUGUGGUUUAAUUCGAUGAUACGCGAGGAACCUUACCAGGGCUUAAAUGCAUAACGACAGAUCUGGAAACAGAUCCUUCUUCGGACGGAAUGCAAGGUGCUGCAUGGUUGUCGUCAGCUCGUGCCGUGAGGUGUCAGGUUAAGUCCUAUAACGAGCGCAACCCCUACUGUUAGUUGCCAGCAUGUAAUGAUGGGGACUCUAGCAGAACUGCCGGUGUAAGCCGCGAGGAAGGUGGGGAUGACGUCAAAUCAUCACGGCCCUUACGUCCUGGGCUACACACGUGCUACAAUGGCAUGGACAAAGAGCAGCCACCUGGUGACAGGGAGCUAAUCUCAAAACCAU
RNAcentral lists this ribosomal RNA (487 nucleotides) under uncultured bacterium. RNAcentral's name for it is "bacterial SSU rRNA". It matches the Rfam family "Bacterial small subunit ribosomal RNA", at positions 791 to 1284 of the family's 1533-position model. The record is from RNAcentral.